GUCUAUGGCCAUACAACCCUGAACGCAUCCAAUCUCAUCUGAUCUCGGAAGCUAAGCAGAAUGGGACCUGAUUAGUACUUGGACAGAAAAUAUUUGUGCUACAUUUU
Ribosomal RNA from Peromyscus maniculatus bairdii (prairie deer mouse), 107 nucleotides. The record is from Ensembl. Lineage: Eukaryota; Metazoa; Chordata; Mammalia; Rodentia; Cricetidae.